GACGAACGCUGGCGGCGUGCUUAANACAUGCAAGUCGAACGAGGGAAUUGAAAGCUUGCUUUUGAAACCCGAGUGGCAAACGGGUGAGUAACGCGUAGGCAACCUGCCCCCCAGAUGGGGACAACAUCCCGAAAAGGGGGUGCUAAUACCGAAUGAAGUAUCCAUUCCGCAUGGGAAGGAUACCAAAGGCUGGGCAACCGGUCACUGGGGGAUGGGCCUGCGUCUGAUUAGCUUGUUGGUGAGGUAACGGCCCACCAAGGCGACGAUCAGUAGCCGGUCUGAGAGGAUGAACGGCCACAUUGGGACUGAGACACGGCCCAAACUCCUACGGGAGGCAGCAGUGGGGAAUCUUCCGCAAUGGGCGAAAGCCUGACGGAGCAACGCCGCGUGAGUGAAGAAGGUUUUCGGAUCGUAAAGCUCUGUUGUCGGGGACGAGAGAGCGCCUCAGGAAAUGGGGGCGCCAGGACGGUACCCGGCGAGAAAGCCACGGCUAACUACGUG
This 501-nucleotide ribosomal RNA is filed under the name uncultured bacterium. Its description in RNAcentral is "bacterial SSU rRNA". It matches the Rfam family "Bacterial small subunit ribosomal RNA", at positions 28 to 507 of the family's 1533-position model. The record is from RNAcentral.